RNAcentral lists this ribosomal RNA (253 nucleotides) under uncultured bacterium. RNAcentral's name for it is "partial 16S ribosomal RNA". It matches the Rfam family "Bacterial small subunit ribosomal RNA", at positions 524 to 776 of the family's 1533-position model. The record is from RNAcentral.
UACGUAGGGGGCAAGCGUUGUCCGGAUUUACUGGGCGUAAAGAGCGUGUAGGCGGCCAAGCAGGUCCGUUGUGAAAACUGGAGGCCCAACCUCCAGACGUCGACGGAAACCGUAUGGCUAGAGUCCGGAAGAGGAGAGUGGAAUUCCUGGUGUAGCGGUGAAAUGCGCAGAUAUCAGGAAGAACACCAAUGGCGAAGGCAGCUCUCUGGGACGGUACUGACGCUGAGACGCGAAAGCGUGGGGAGCGAACAGG